RNAcentral lists this ribosomal RNA (2908 nucleotides) under Salmonella enterica. RNAcentral describes it as "23S ribosomal RNA". It matches the Rfam family "Bacterial large subunit ribosomal RNA". Lineage: Bacteria; Pseudomonadati; Pseudomonadota; Gammaproteobacteria; Enterobacterales; Enterobacteriaceae. The record is from RNAcentral.
GGUUAAGCGACUAAGCGUACACGGUGGAUGCCCUGGCAGUCAGAGGCGAUGAAGGGCGUGCUAAUCUGCGAUAAGCGCCGGUAAGGUGAUAUGAACCGUUAUAACCGGCGAUACCCGAAUGGGGAAACCCAGUGUGACUCGUCACACUAUCAUUAACUGAAUCCAUAGGUUAAUGAGGCGAACCGGGGGAACUGAAACAUCUAAGUACCCCGAGGAAAAGAAAUCAACCGAGAUUCCCCCAGUAGCGGCGAGCGAACGGGGAGGAGCCCAGAGCCUGAAUCAGCAUGUGUGUUAGUGGAAGCGUCUGGAAAGGCGCGCGAUACAGGGUGACAGCCCCGUACACAAAAGCGCAUGUGCUGUGAGCUCGAUGAGUAGGGCGGGACACGUGGUAUCCUGUCUGAAUAUGGGGGGACCAUCCUCCAAGGCUAAAUACUCCUGACUGACCGAUAGUGAACCAGUACCGUGAGGGAAAGGCGAAAAGAACCCCGGCGAGGGGAGUGAAAAAGAACCUGAAACCGUGUACGUACAAGCAGUGGGAGCACAGGUUUACCUGUGUGACUGCGUACCUUUUGUAUAAUGGGUCAGCGACUUAUAUUCUGUAGCAAGGUUAACCGAAUAGGGGAGCCGCAGGGAAACCGAGUCUUAAUUGGGCGUUAAGUUGCAGGGUAUAGACCCGAAACCCGGUGAUCUAGCCAUGGGCAGGUUGAAGGUUGGGUAACACUAACUGGAGGACCGAACCGACUAAUGUUGAAAAAUUAGCGGAUGACCUGUGGCUGGGGGUGAAAGGCCAAUCAAACCGGGAGAUAGCUGGUUCUCCCCGAAAGCUAUUUAGGUAGCGCCUCGUGAAUUCAUCUCCGGGGGUAGAGCACUGUUUCGGCUAGGGGGCCAUCCCGGCUUACCAACCCGAUGCAAACUGCGAAUACCGGAGAAUGUUAUCACGGGAGACACACGGCGGGUGCUAACGUCCGUCGUGAAGAGGGAAACAACCCAGACCGCCAGCUAAGGUCCCAAAGUCAUGGUUAAGUGGGAAACGAUGUGGGAAGGCCCAGACAGCCAGGAUGUUGGCUUAGAAGCAGCCAUCAUUUAAAGAAAGCGUAAUAGCUCACUGGUCGAGUCGGCCUGCGCGGAAGAUGUAACGGGGCUAAACCAUGCACCGAAGCUGCGGCAGCGACGCUGAUGCGUUGUUGGGUAGGGGAGCGUUCUGUAAGCCUGCGAAGGUGGCCUGUGAGGGUUGCUGGAGGUAUCAGAAGUGCGAAUGCUGACAUAAGUAACGAUAAAGCGGGUGAAAAGCCCGCUCGCCGGAAGACCAAGGGUUCCUGUCCAACGUUAAUCGGGGCAGGGUGAGUCGACCCCUAAGGCGAGGCCGAAAGGCGUAGUCGAUGGGAAACGGGUUAAUAUUCCCGUACUUGGUGUUACUGCGAAGGGGGGACGGAGAAGGCUAUGUUGGCCGGGCGACGGUUGUCCCGGUUUAAGCGUGUAGGUGUGUGUUCCAGGUAAAUCCGGUUCACUUUAACACUGAGGCGUGAUGACGAGGCACUACGGUGCUGAAGCAACAAAUGCCCUGCUUCCAGGAAAAGCCUCUAAGCAUCAGGUAACAUCAAAUCGUACCCCAAACCGACACAGGUGGUCAGGUAGAGAAUACCAAGGCGCUUGAGAGAACUCGGGUGAAGGAACUAGGCAAAAUGGUGCCGUAACUUCGGGAGAAGGCACGCUGACACGUAGGUGAAGUGAUUUACUCAUGGAGCUGAAGUCAGUCGAAGAUACCAGCUGGCUGCAACUGUUUAUUAAAAACACAGCACUGUGCAAACACGAAAGUGGACGUAUACGGUGUGACGCCUGCCCGGUGCCGGAAGGUUAAUUGAUGGGGUCAGCGCAAGCGAAGCUCCUGAUCGAAGCCCCGGUAAACGGCGGCCGUAACUAUAACGGUCCUAAGGUAGCGAAAUUCCUUGUCGGGUAAGUUCCGACCUGCACGAAUGGCGUAAUGAUGGCCAGGCUGUCUCCACCCGAGACUCAGUGAAAUUGAACUCGCUGUGAAGAUGCAGUGUACCCGCGGCAAGACGGAAAGACCCCGUGAACCUUUACUAUAGCUUGACACUGAACAUUGAGCCUUGAUGUGUAGGAUAGGUGGGAGGCUUUGAAGUGUGGACGCCAGUCUGCAUGGAGCCGACCUUGAAAUACCACCCUUUAAUGUUUGAUGUUCUAACGUGGACCCGUAAUCCGGGUUGCGGACAGUGUCUGGUGGGUAGUUUGACUGGGGCGGUCUCCUCCUAAAGAGUAACGGAGGAGCACGAAGGUUGGCUAAUCCUGGUCGGACAUCAGGAGGUUAGUGCAAUGGCAUAAGCCAGCUUGACUGCGAGCGUGACGGCGCGAGCAGGUGCGAAAGCAGGUCAUAGUGAUCCGGUGGUUCUGAAUGGAAGGGCCAUCGCUCAACGGAUAAAAGGUACUCCGGGGAUAACAGGCUGAUACCGCCCAAGAGUUCAUAUCGACGGCGGUGUUUGGCACCUCGAUGUCGGCUCAUCACAUCCUGGGGCUGAAGUAGGUCCCAAGGGUAUGGCUGUUCGCCAUUUAAAGUGGUACGCGAGCUGGGUUUAGAACGUCGUGAGACAGUUCGGUCCCUAUCUGCCGUGGGCGCUGGAGAACUGAGGGGGGCUGCUCCUAGUACGAGAGGACCGGAGUGGACGCAUCACUGGUGUUCGGGUUGUCAUGCCAAUGGCACUGCCCGGUAGCUAAAUGCGGAAGAGAUAAGUGCUGAAAGCAUCUAAGCACGAAACUUGCCCCGAGAUGAGUUCUCCCUGAGACUUAGAGUCUCCUGAAGGAACGUUGAAGACGACGACGUUGAUAGGCCGGGUGUGUAAGCGCAGCGAUGCGUUGAGCUAACCGGUACUAAUGAACCGUGAGGCUUAACCUU